UGUAAAUCAAAUGUCUGUGUUUUGUAAAUCUAAUGUCUACAUGUGCAUUGCAUUUCUUUGGUUCACUUUCAAGAGCUGACAAUAUUAUGAACAAACUUGUGAAAGGGGGGUUACAAAUUUAAACAUCGCUCUUUUAUCUCCCUUAUGUUAUUUUAACCAGCAGCCAUUGAAGUUAUACAAUCACACACACACACAUAUACACAUACAUGCGUUAUAUUUAAAAUCUAAAUACAUUCUCAGAACUGAUUUGAAAAAAUAAAUUGAAAAAUGACAUGCAAGGGACAAAACUAGAGUAAAGACUCAGUAAAGUAAAAAUGUAUCAUGUUCAUCUCCCUUUAUCAGCUUAAAGUGCAUUCUUUUAUAACACCAACAUGUCUCGCAAAAAGCCUUUGACAUGUACAAGUGCGAGAAUUUUUUUUUUCAAUUCUAUUUCUGUCUGAUUUGGAAUUUAUAGACAUGCACUGAUACAUAUCCCCAUUUCAUUUUUAUGCAAAAGCAUUUUCGUUUGAGUUGUAAUGCACACCUCAUUGUGUCCUGGAAAACUCAUGUAAUGUUGAAAAUGCUAUAAUCUAUAAUAUGUACACUAAUCCAUAUGUAAUUUACAGUAG
Biomphalaria pfeifferi is the source of this 608-nucleotide non-coding RNA. NCBI's taxonomy places the organism in Eukaryota, Metazoa, Mollusca, Gastropoda, Planorbidae. The record is from the annotation of a GenBank genome assembly.